Gossypium arboreum is the source of this 721-nucleotide long non-coding RNA. RefSeq lists it as uncharacterized. The transcript has 3 exons. Lineage: Eukaryota; Viridiplantae; Streptophyta; Magnoliopsida; Malvales; Malvaceae. The record is from RefSeq and is a predicted model, not a curated record.
CUUUGUGUUAUACUAUACAGCCUUCACACUACACACCAACCCGUAUGAAAAUAAAUGUCUGCUUUUCUUCUUUUUUUUUUUUCGUAUUUUUGGUAUGUGACCCACUUUGCUGUCAUCGAUUAAUAUAUUUCUACUUCUAAGAGUAUCCAGUUCCGAGCACACUAUUAGUUUACAUGGAUUUUGUUUUGUCAAGGUCUUCUUAAAACUGCUGCGGUUGAUUCAAAUAGAUAUGGCUGAUGUUGAUAGAGGAGAAUCACCUUCUAGGCUGGAGGUUAAGUUUAGUGCGGCGGUAGCUUGUUGGAUUCUUGGAUUUGGUUCUCUCAUCUUUGGAAUAGCAUGCUGACAAGGGGAGAUUAUUACUAUCAUCUAUUCCCUGUUAAUCAAAUCUUAGGGAAAGGGUCCUUUUUUAUAAGCGAAGAUGUAAGUUGGAAUCAUGUACGUGAAGGUAGCAAAACUUUGAACAACAUACGGAUGCUCAGCUGGGAUGACGGUCUAUCAGCACCGAGGAGUGAGCUUGACACUUGAGCUCUUGCCAACCAGCCUGUUUGCUUUAAAAAAGAUUAGCUUGCCAUGCAAGCAAAGAAACAAACAACCAUUUUUGUAUUUUAGACUUUUCUUGCUGCAAAAGUUUUAGAAUUUCAAGAUGUAAUUCUCAGUUAUUGGAAACAAAAUGCAUACAGAACCAAAGCUUGAUUAAUUCUCAGCUAUUAGACAUUCUCAA